GCCAGUGUGGCUCAGUGGUUGAGCAUCGAGCUAUGAACCAGGAGGUCAAGGUUCGAGUCCCUGUCAGGGCA
RNAcentral lists this transfer RNA (71 nucleotides) under Myotis brandtii (Brandt's bat). It matches the Rfam family "tRNA". From Rfam's summary of the family: Transfer RNA (tRNA) molecules are approximately 80 nucleotides in length. The record is from Rfam by way of RNAcentral. Lineage: Eukaryota; Metazoa; Chordata; Mammalia; Chiroptera; Vespertilionidae.